UUAUGAACAGAAGGGUGAUUUAAAAGCUAAAAUGCCGCUAUAUGCAAGGCAUGAAGUAGAAGCCUGACUCUAAAAGGCUUAUCAGUAAAUCAUCAGCAGCUAAAGACAGCAGUGGAGAAGGUGGAAUGUUAGGUAGUUAAGUUUGAGAAAAUCUAGGUAGCUUUUAAGUUGCAUCAAAUCUUUCAGAUAUAUAAAAGCACUUUGCAAAGUUGUUAUUAUUCCUGCUUUGCGGACAAAGAGCUGAGUGCUGGAGAAGGCAGGGCAGGAAGGCAGUGGCAGAAUGUCACCCAAUCACCAGAUCAACUGCCUUUAUUUCAGUAUCUAUUUCUAGAUCGGUUUGAAAAACUUUGACAAAAGCAUCUGAUUCUGGAAGACCCAUGGGACAGAUGAUGGAGAAAAGGCAUCAUAAAGGGCUUCUGAGAAAUGACAGCCUGUGAAGCUGGUGUAACAACACAGAAGAAGUCACAGUGCAGGGAAGAUGGCAGUGUCUGCAGAAGCUGCCAGACCCCCACGUGUUGCUGAGAUUGCCAGAAAUGGGGUUCUGAAGAGGGCUGAGCUGGAGAUAACUCAAAGCAGAAAACAAUGGAUGUCUGUAUGAAUAGCAACAAAAAAACCCUGUAAUUAAACCACCACUAACCUCAAGCUAAAUUUUAUACAUCCAAAAUGAUCUGCACUUCCAUUUUGUCUGCUCAUGGCUGAAUUCGUUCUUGUUAUAUAGUAUGAGAUUGAUUAUAUACAUAUAAAGGAUUUAACUUGGUGGAAAAACAACAUAUAAAAGCUUUUUUAUAAACAAGUGUGCUUGUUCAUCAGACAAGAACUGAACAUGAAAUGACCAACUAAAUGCAUAAAGUUCCACAUGCUUUAUCAUGUUACCUGUAAUAAACUAGGUUAAUGCAAAAUCAAGAUGCACAGACAAAUCGGGGGGAAAAAAAGAAACACAGAAAUUAAUGUUUUGAGAAUAAUGUCAUCUAAGCCAGCCUGUAGGUACAGUCUGCUGCAUAGGAGAGCAGUGAAAGCGUAAACAGAAUACUAGAUGUGGAUUAAGCUACAAACUGAAAUAGCUGUGAACAAAGGCAAAGUCCGGUUGCUCUUGGAACCUUAAUGUAAGGAAAUAUCCUUAUAAAAGAUGAGACAAUAGUGGUUCUGUAAAUGACAGUCCCAUAGGCAGGAAAAAAAUUAAGAACUUCCUAUAGCUCCUAAAGUAUCAACCUAUAUUAUAACCCUUCCACAAAUCUUCUGUAAGUGCUUUCUCUGUCUUAGUCCACCCAGAAUAGGGAAAAACGACAGGCACAGACACACUCCAAGCAGACAGAAGUAGAAGGAGAAGGAAAUGCAGCACUUGUUCAGGACCUUCUGCCAGUGCACCUGUAAGUCCCAACGCUCACUUGCUCUCCUUGCUUCCUCCAGAACAUACAGACCUUUGCCAGCCCUCAUCCAGGCUAUGGCAACAUGCUGCUUUCUAGAGCAGUGCUGCUUGGUCUCUGCAGAGUGCUGGGAACGUGGGCUUAGAUACCAACAAACACAACUAGGCUGAGGCUUCAUUGUUCAUUUAUUACUUUUAUUUUCUUUGUAUUGUUUUGAAGUGGGGAUUUUUUGAUAGCUUUCUUUUCCUUGCUUGUAUGAGUAAUAAAGUGUGUUCAUUUAACUGGGCAUGUAUUUAAUUUGAAAACAUUCUCAAAAUAUCUUCUAAUGCCUCAUGGACCACAGGCUGAGAUGCAUUUGUAUAUUCCAGACAUUCUCAGAAUGUUCAGGCUAGUAGAUUUCUCUCAGCUUUCAGAUUUUCUUGCCACAUACUCUUCUCAUCAAAAUUUUAACUGAAGACUACGGACAUUAUUAUUUAAUACCGUUCCACAGACCACUUGCAGCAGACUUGCCAAGGUCUCAUGGAUUAUCAGUGAUCUAUAGGAUAGAGGCAAGGAACCAGCAGUCCAGAGCCUUUAGUGAUCCUGACUGUUUGUCGCUAACACUGUAUAAAGACCAUUCCUAUAAAUCACUCUGUUAAAAUUGAAUGAACCUGCGCUUCAGAAAAUAUUUCAAGGAAUCAAAAUAAUCUGCAGGAGUACAUCACUGAGUGGAGGGGAAGAGGAAGGUGAAUAGUCCCACUGCAGCUACUGCUAACAUAUGCACCUCUAGGCACUCCAUAUCGCAGGAUGUGGAUGAAAAACUGAACAAUGUGAAGAGGUACAGAAGAUGCAAACCCAGGACCUGUUUCAAGUGACAUCAAAUGCUUGAAAAAUGCUUUGCAGUUGAUUAUAAAUUCAGUGGGAUCUACAGAAAUCAACGCUAAAGAAUUUGCAGCAAGUCCAAGCUCUUGAGAUCCUCUUGUUGCUCCCUCUGCCAACGAUUCCUGAUUCUAAGCCUGAGACUUUGGGCAAUUUUGGUCCGAAAGUUCCAGUGUAAUAGUUGCAUCAUCUGUUUUAGCAGUGACCCCGUUUGUCAGGUGGAACUGGUGUGCUGUAUGCCCACAUUACAGAAGAGGUAUCAAUAUAAAAAAUAAAUAAAAGCUGCUAAAAAUUCUGCAGGUGCUUUGGAAAAUACUGAGGAUUCACCUUCCAGCUGCUCACCAUUCCUAAUUUUGAAUCUUGUUUGGGUUUUGGGGUUUUUUUUUGAAAACCAAGCAAAUGUGCUGGUCCUUACCACAGGGCUGUACGCUACGUCUUGCCAAGCUUAGUCACACGUGGCGCUCCCCUGAAUCAACAGGCUUGCUAAUGUGAAUGAAUUUUCAGCUGAGUUCUAUUAAAAAAAAGGAUGACAACAAGAAGCUACAAAUAGUAUUCAGGGUCAAAUUAUAUAGAGUGUCACCAUUGAUAUCUGCAUGUGCAAGUCUGGGCUCUAAAUUAUUUUAGGGCACAGUUUGUCCCCACUUCUUAUUCUUAGAAAUCAAGCUCCUGCUCCUCAAAUAAUCCCAAUGGAGCAGAUUAUGCCAACCCUAUCAGAGGUAGAACCUUGGCCAACAGGCAUCCAUGGAUUUGGAGGGACUUUCUUCAGAGCAAGGUGUUACUGCAAGUAAAAGCUACAGACUCUUGCUGUUGUAAGCUAUGGGACUUCUCAACAGUACAGUGAUAUUUCUCAUGUAGGGCAGCUCAGACUCUCAUCCUGAACCAUAUUUAAUAUCCCCAUCUCUGCACAGCCCCUCCAACCUCAGGGGAACUGCUCAAUAGGUAAGUGACUGGGAGGAAGGACGUCAGAGCCAGGCCCUCUCCUGUGAGGCACAAAAAGUGUUUGGGCAAGAUUCCCACUGGGAUAAGUUUGCAUAAUUUUUCUAAGGCUGGGAGCAAAUGUUAAUGCAAUUUUCUUCCUUCAGAGCAGUUUUAAAGUCACUCAAAGCCCAAGAGCAUUUUCCCUGGGAGACUGGACUUCCCUCUUCAAUGUAGUUCCCGUUACUCAUCUGAUGACUACUGAUUACUCAUGUGAGCAAUGCAUGUGGAGCUGAGGUUUUGUAGAAGCAGGAGUAAAACACAAGAGCAUGUCCACUUGCUCAGAAGGGCAAAUUUCUAGACUUGAUAACAAAAUCAGACCUCUGCCAAAACCUCUCCCUCC
RNAcentral lists this long non-coding RNA (3540 nucleotides) under Strigops habroptila (Kakapo). RNAcentral describes it as "lncRNA (ENSSHBG00005012287.1)". Lineage: Eukaryota; Metazoa; Chordata; Aves; Psittaciformes; Psittacidae. The record is from RNAcentral.